RNAcentral lists this ribosomal RNA (322 nucleotides) under uncultured bacterium. RNAcentral describes it as "bacterial SSU rRNA". It matches the Rfam family "Bacterial small subunit ribosomal RNA", at positions 202 to 507 of the family's 1533-position model. The record is from RNAcentral.
AAGCGGGGGACCUUCGGGCCUCGCACUAUUGGAUGAGCCUAUGUCGGAUUAGCUUGUUGGUAGGGUAAUGGCCUACCAAGGCUACGAUCCGUAGCUGGUCUGAGAGGAUGAUCAGCCACACUGGGACUGAGACACGGCCCAGACUCCUACGGGAGGCAGCAGUGGGGAAUAUUGGACAAUGGGCGCAAGCCUGAUCCAGCAAUGCCGCGUGUGUGAAGAAGGCCUGCGGGUUGUAAAGCACUUUCAGUAGAGAAGAAAAGCCUAGGGUUAAUACCCCUGAGUCUUGACGUAACCUACAGAAGAAGCACCGGCUAACUCCGUG